CCUCAAAUCCCAGAAUCAUUUAGGGUUGGAAAAGACCUCCCAGACCAUCAAGUCCAACCUCUGACAGAGUGCCCCCCUGCUCACUAAGCCGCACCGCCAAGUGUCACAUCCACUCGUUUUUAACAAUUCCAGGGACGGUGACUCCCAGGAGAGCCUGUUCCCAAACACGGAUACCGACGGAAACCGGCAGCCUGAACAUAAUCCCGACAGGGAAGGCUCCGCAGGCUCCAGCACCGCUCGCAGGCUCCGCACGGACCCGCGGGGAGCGGGGUUAAGCCGGGCACCACCCGCGCAGGUCGAGGCGGCUCAUCCCGCCGCUCGGGCUCGACAUCCCUCUGCAGCCGCUCCCGGCCCCUCUCGCCAGAGCCCCGGAGCAUCUCCGGGCGGCAGGAGACACAAAAUUCCACGUCAGCUUGGAAGCAGGAGGUGAAAAGCAGCACGUGGAUGUACCCACACAAGUCUACAUUUUGCUUUAGGACAGGGUUGGAAGAGAAGACAAGAAAACUGCAUUGGAAGAGAAGACAAGAAAACUGCAGGCUCCUUAAUUUUCUAUGUUCCACAAAUUAAAGUCCUGCACAGUGACCUGCCUCUUUUGUUUGGGAAUACUAACCCCAGCAGGAAACAGUAAGGCAGGAAACCUGCUGGGUACUACUACAACAUUCUGGAAGUCCCAGUCAUCCAUGGCCCUUGAGGACUUUGUCCUUUUCCCAAGGUAGAACAGGCUGGACUGGACCAGCAGAAAUCCUUACAAUGUCAGCAGCCCAUCAGUUCUCCCUCUCUUCCUGCUGGGACAGCUCAUCCUGAGCUCUCCUCUGUAACCACAGCAGUGGAGACCAGUCCUGGCUGGGUGGGAGCAGCACCUGCCCUGCUCCUCCUCCUCACUGCUCUGCUCCAUGUCCCGUGAGCAGAGGCAGAGCAGGAUUGUCCUCCCUGGGCCAGCAGGGGAUUCAUCAAUAAGGACACAGUGUUCUGGUCCAGCCUGAGUCCACCUUCCCACCUCCUGCAGACUGGGCAGAAGUUGUUUCCAGAGCUAAAUUUCACCUCUCUAAUGGGACAGACAAAAGAAUCUGAAUAGAAAAUCCCAAAUUGUGAAGUCUGGAUGGGGAUGUUUGUGGCACAUGUCCAUCUUCAGCUUGAUGCACACCAUUACCUACCUUAACAAAGAGUGUGGCUGCUCACUUCAACUCCUGUUGAAGCACCCAGAGCUCCCUGGUUGCUGUUGUGGAGUGGAUGCUGGUGCCAGUGGAUCCAGAUGGACUGUGUUUGCUUUGCUCCUUGCAGCUCACUGUAAACACAGGAGCAGAAACGACAGCACUGUUCCCACAAACACCUACAUUUAAUUUGUAUCAGUAACUCUGUGAGUGUCUUUGAAUUCAUCCCACUGAGUGCUCACUUCAGAAACAUGAAACACUCUGCCUAUGAGUCCAAUUAAAACAACUUGGGCUUUAAAACCUAGGUAUUUGUAGCCACUUUCUUGAAAGAAUAAUCCUGUGUUGGCAUAAAUGGAUAUAAAUCAAUGAAGAUCAAGGGCCUGGCACCCAGUCAUGCUCACUGACAACCCAGCUUAGAUCUGACUCAGUAAAUCAUCUCAGACACUGUGGAAACACUCAGAAUUGUUCUGAAAUGUGUGCAAGCACACAGACAGAAAACGCAGCCCUUAUUUCAGGGGAAUUAAUUUGCUGGAAAUGUGGAGCUCCUCAGGUUCUGGGUGAAGAAUCUGCAAACAGGAAGCACUGAAAGGAAUUCGCCGGUUUUGAAAAUGGAUCUCUUAAUCCUGACUGUCCCAUCUGCAUCCUCAGGCAGCUCUGCUGCUGCUCUAAUCUUUCCUCCUCCUCCUCCUCCUCUGACUCUUUGUCACUGUGGGUGACCCACCAUGAAUAAAAGAUUAGGAUGUGCCAGAUUCAAAUGAAACCUUUGCUGGAGGGGUCAUUGCUCCAGCUCCAGAGCUGCAGGACAGGAAAGCUGCAGAGCCCAAGGGGUUCAGCUCCAGGGGCACCUGGAGUCACCUCCUGCUCCAGGGUGAGAAGAUAAGGCUUCAUCUGUGAGACCCAACAGGGCCAAGGCAACGCAGGGAAGGCUGUCAGUUUGAGGUCUGAUUUCAAAGAGAUAUCAGGAAAUCCACGGGAAGAGAGAUGAAGGCUAGAGAUGAUGGAUAAAAGCUCAAAUGGUGGCCAAAGGAUAAAAAAUGAAGGAUCUAAACUUUGAAUGACAUGGUCCAUUCUGCUCCAACCCUGCACCUGAAGGCCUGGAAGGGGUCAGGUUGUGCCAAAGUGGUGCUGGGCAGAUCCUCUCCCUGGAUGUCUGGAACAUGCAAUGGGAUUUUGCUCAGUUGUUGCCAUUUUGAGGACCUGUACAGGGUUAAACUUGUUCAGCUUCAAGGGGGCAGUGAAGGGGAAGGUGCUGAUCUCCUCUCUCUGGUGGUAGGACGUGUGGCAAUGGAAUGAAGCUGCAUCAGAGGAACUUCAAAUUGGACAUUAGGAAGUGGUCCUUGCCCCAGAGGGUGGUCAGGCACUGGAUCAGGCUCCCCAGGUCACAGCUGCCACAGUUCAAGGAGCACUCAGACAAGAAUCUUAAUCAUACAGUUUAGUUCUAGGUAGACCUGUAAGGAGAGUGGUGUUAUGGUCUUCAUGGGUCUGUCCCCUCCAGCUUGAGAUAAUCUGGGAUCCUCUGAAAUUCCCCUCCCUGAAAGCACCUGAGUGAGAAAUUUGCCUCAGGGGGAAGGUGUUGAGGGGAGCUCUUGAGGCACCAUUCUGGCCACUCCUCCUGAUGGUUAAUCUCACCUUUUAAACAUGUGCCAGCAAUUGUUCAGCCUCUCUCUGCUGCACUGCAGGGGCCUCCAAGAGCACUGCUGUCUGCUCAGAGAGCACUGCUCAUCACAGCCAGGUGCCUCUUGGGCCUGGACACAUCCCAGACUGACAGGCCAUCACAGCCCCCACCUCAGGGCACUUCUCCCACCCUAAAGUCAUUUCUGAGGCUCUUCUCCACCCACACUCCCCCCUUUGACAGCUUUCACACCCCCAGGUUUGGUGCUGGGUUAAGAGUUGUACCCGAACUGAACCCACCCUGGCUGCUCCCCUGUUGGAACACCCAGGGAUCACACUGGGAGUAGGUAAGAACUGAUUUGGAACAAACUGAUUUCUUAUCAGCUGGAGGUCCAAUUCACCACUCCUGCUGCUGUCUGAUGCUUCUCUCUGGAAGCAGCUGUACAGAAACCACCGGGACAGCUCAGGGGCUGUGGUGGCACUCAAAGCAAACAGGGAUGGCAGAACUAGGUCUGCUGGAGGAAGACAGAAAUCAAAUUCACCUUCCAGCACUCACUGCAAGUGAGGCUGAUCUGCAUUUCUUAUACCAAGCAAAGGCUCCAGCUCAGAUGCUAAUUUUAUCUUGCUGGCUUUGUAGCGUCCUUGAUCUUCAAGAGAAUUCAAAAUAACAUGGAGCAAAUGUAUAACUAAGUCAUUUUAAAGAAGUAACUGCAAAGUGCAUAACUCUGCUCAAGGGGAAACAGCUUCUGUGCUAAACACAGAGUAUGAAAUCAGAUCAUGCUGGGAGAAUGAACAAAUGGGCUCUUUACUCCUCGUCCUCACCACGGGGCUGUUGGGGCAGCCCAGGGAGCUCUGUCUCCAUCUGCACUGCAAACCCACCCCGAGGGGAUGUGCAGGAAGGCCAAACCCUCCCACCCUGCACUCCCAAUGCCUUGUGACAGUGUGAUUUGAUCCCUUUGCUCAGCAGAGACAGGGAGAUGGCCUUCAUGGACAUCAGGACACUCUGUGCCAAACAGCAGACACAGCUAUUGGAAGAUGCUCCUCUUCACCUGAGUGCAAACACCCAGUGCUGGGCAGGGAGGGCUGCUCCUUUUUCCCAGAGCAGGCAGACACCCCUGGGAUAAUCCCAGCAAUCCCAGGAGGAGAGGAGUGGGGAAGCAGACAGUGUGUGCCUGCCUGGCUGGGGGCACUUGCACUGGGAGGGGCAGCACCAGCCCAGGAGAGAUGGGUUUGAGUGCCUGAAGCCCUGCCCAGCUGUCAGCAGCCCCACCAUCAAAGCCGGGGCUCCUCUCCCCCCGCAGAGCUCCAGCUGAGGCAGGAGUUUAGCAGGAGCUUCAGGGUUGCUGCUCUGGUCCCAGGAGCAGGAUCAAACUGUGCUGAACUGGCUAUCUGGGUACCUCUGCUGCAGUGGCCUCCAAGGCUUUUUUGGAAACAGCAGGGGCGGGUAGAGCUGACCCUCCCAGGGAGCAGGCAGAGGUCAGCUCAGGGCACAGACCUUCCUUGUCUCUCAGUGCAGGAAGAAAUGAGGGCUCAGACAGCAGCUCUCCCCCUCAGACACCACUUCCCUGCCAUCAAGGAAUACUGAACUAUUCCCUGUGGAAAGCAAGGGCUUGCUUCCAGGCUGCUCUCCAUGUUAUGAUUAUCCUCACCCCAAAUGUCAGGUUGCAGGUGAGUUGGUGAAGAGCCUGGUUUGCCAACCAGCAGUUUCAACCCCCUUCCCAGGAGCAGCCACAGCUCUCCCAGGGUCAUACUCAAAUUAUUUUCUCGGUCUGUACCAGGCUGGCAGGGAGGAAGAAGGAGAACUCUCAAUGGAACAAGGAAUCUUUCUUGCACUGGUUCCAAACUCAAGAGAAGUCCCUCCUUUCGAGGUGAGAGGUGUAGGAGUGCUGGGAGCAAGGGGCAGAAAGGAGGUGACUCAAACAGCUCUGCCCCACUGAAUACCACCCAUUUAAAUUCCUCCUCACUCUGGUCAGACAGACCUGGGCAGGAAAAUGCCUUCUUUGCAUCUGUGAAGCCACAGGAGUCCAGGCCAAGAAAGCUGGGGUCCAUCACAGCCUGAGAGAAACCACGACAGGAUGGGGGGCAGGCUCCAGAGAGCUCUUCUGGAGGGAGGUCAGAGGAGAAGACACAGCCAUUCUUUCUCACCACCCUCCCUAUUCACCUCCAUGCUUAUUUUCAAGGCACAGGGUGGGAUUCUUGGGGUGCCCUGUGCAGGGCCAGGAGUUGGACUCCAUCACCCUUGAGGGUCCUUUCCAACUCAGGAGGUUCUGUGACUCUUGGAGGUUAUUUGACCAUUGUUCUCCCUUCUCAGCCAGCACUGAGAUCUCACAGCCCCACCAGGUGUCCCUGCCCGGGCACACCCUGAGAGCUGGGGCCUUGUGAAGCUGGAUACAAGGAAGGAUUUAACCUCAUGGCACCACAACCUAAUCCCCCACCCUGCAGAGCUGAGGGGCAGCUGGAAACGUCUGUGUCACGAGUGGAACCAGGACACUGCCAGGGAGCUCACACUCUGCUCCCUGCCUCUGGUUUUUUUCUCUGGAUGGAAAUAAGUGAGGUGAAAAAAAAAAAAAAACAACAAAAAAACCCAAAAAGGCUGGAGAAGCUGCUGAAUUGAAAAUAAGAAAGGAGCUGAGGUGUUUGUUUCCUGUGCUUGGAUUUAAUACUCCUCGGGAUAAAGUACUGGGAACGAGAUACUCCAUUCCUGAGCUCCCCGUGCCUCCCCCACUGCUCUGCUCUGGAAUGGGCUCUCCUGGAAGCCCCUGGGGUGGGACCCUGCAGGCAAAUGGUGAAGGUGAGCGAUGGGAGCUGCUGAACUCCUCUCUUCCUUGAGCACACUUGGACUCAAAUCCCUUUCUCCACCCUCCCAGUGUUUAAGUAUUUCCUUUAUUUUCAGAGCAGGUGCUCGUUCUCUUUCUUAAUGAACCUCCUGCUCCCUUGUAAACAAGCCCUUUAUUAGCUCCACGAGCCUGCCUUGGUUUCUAUUUAUACCUUUCCCAUGUCAAUAUUUGAAAGCACACUCCCCUACGCCGCGUUCUUGCUCUGUGCCCCUUUCCAUCCCUGCUGCCUCUUGCCCACCUCUCCUUUCUCUCCCAGGUUUAUCCGUGCUGAUAAAAAUCAACCCCAGAUUUUACGUUUCCUUUUAAACAACUGGGAACUUCCUCUUCUGAUGUCCACUGAAAGGAGAUCUCCAUAUCCCUGGAGAGGUGCAAUCCCUUGUGUGGACUAAAAAGCGAACACCUGAAUCCUCCAGGCAGAUCUGUGAAUGCCUGCUGUCCACCUGGCCUUGGAGGAAGCUCCACACCUGCUUAUUUGCUGGAUUUAUGGGGAUGGAGCACCUCUCACAUGGGGAAAGCACGAGAGAAUUGGGAUUAUUUGGCCUGGAGAAGAGAAGGGGCUGGGGUGACCUAAUUGUGGCCUUUUGGUGCCUCAAGGGGCUCUGAGAGAGCUGGAAAGAGGAUUUGGAUGAGGGAGGGCACGGAAUGACAGGACAAGGGGGAAUGGCUUCCCACUGCCAGAGGGCAGGGUAGGAUGGGAUAUUGGGAAGGAAUCCUUCCCUUGAGGGUGGGGAGGCCCUGGCACAGGUUGCCCAGAGAAGCUGUGGCUGCCCCUGGAUCCCUGGAAGUGUCCCAGGCCAGGUUGGACGGGGCUUGGAGCAACCUGGGACAGUGGAAGGUGUCCCUGCCCAUGGCAGGGGGUGGAACUGGAUGGGCUUUAAGGUCCCUUCCAACCUUCUGCCCCUUGUAUUUUAAAUUAUCAUCUUACUAGUAUUAGGAAUUAAUGUUCUAGUGUUUAAACAUGUGAAAACAGGGUGUUGCUUCCCCUCUCCCAGCUGUAUCCAGGGACAAGACUUCAGCUCCUUUACCACAAGUGCUGGGAAUGGCUUUGUAAUGUAAAUAAGCACUUAUGGUAUUUUUAACAAGCACCUGCUUUAUCCUGCUGCCUAAUGAGAGCUGGACAGAAAUGCAGUGAAAGCAGAGGAAGGUAACACUGCCAUUUAAGCUAAUUAACAGCAAAUUAAAUUAAACUGACACACACAUAUAUUCUGGGCUCCUGCAUCUAACAGGAGGGAAUGCUGUGGAGAUUUCAUUAUUCACAUUCCCCAUCACCUGCUUUUUUUCCCCAGCACAUUCCUACCCAAUUACCUGGGGAAGGAAAAGGGAGAAAGAUACUAAAGCCAAUAAGAUAAUUCUCAUUUACAUAAAAAUUUUUCUGCAUUGUGUUUAAUAGUCUGCAAGUAACUGUAGAAGAAUAUAUAGUCCAUUCUUUAAAAAGCUCCAAUGCACUAAUUGAAAUUAAAUUACAUGGAACCCAGUGUCUGCCUUCUGCUCAUUGGGAGAUAAUAUGCAAGCCACAGUUUUAUGUGUUAUUAUUAAUAUUGAUGGAUGAAGCGCUGUAGUCACUACAGAGCCCCUUCCCAGAUGUGAUUCCCUUUCCUUCAGCUGUAGGUGAGCCUAAAAUGAUGUUUUU
Pseudopipra pipra is the source of this 7229-nucleotide long non-coding RNA. RefSeq lists it as uncharacterized. The transcript has 3 exons. NCBI's taxonomy places the organism in Eukaryota, Metazoa, Chordata, Aves, Passeriformes, Pipridae. The record is from RefSeq and is a predicted model, not a curated record.